This 468-nucleotide ribosomal RNA is filed under the name uncultured bacterium. RNAcentral's name for it is "partial 16S ribosomal RNA". It matches the Rfam family "Bacterial small subunit ribosomal RNA", at positions 28 to 507 of the family's 1533-position model. The record is from RNAcentral.
GACGAACGCUGGCGGCGUGCUUAACACAUGCAAGUCGAACGGAAAGGCCCUGCUUUUGUGGGGUGCUCGAGUGGCGAACGGGUGAGUAACACGUGAGUAACCUGCCCUUUACUUUGGGAUAACUUCAGGAAACUGGGGCUAAUACCGGAUAGGAGCUCCUGCUGCAUGGUGGGGGUUGGAAAGUUUCGGCGGUUGGGGAUGGACUCGCGGCUUAUCAGCUUGUUGGUGGGGUAGUGGCUUACCAAGGCUUUGACGGGUAGCCGGCCUGAGAGGGUGACCGGCCGCAUUGGGACUGAGAUACGGCCCAGACUCCUACGGGAGGCAGCAGUGGGGAAUAUUGCACAAUGGGCGGAAGCCUGAUGCAGCAACGCCGCGUGCGGGAUGACGGCCUUCGGGUUGUAAACCGCUUUCGCCUGUGACGAAGCGUGAGUGACGGUAAUGGGUAAAGAAGCACCGGCUAACUACGUG